This 484-nucleotide ribosomal RNA is filed under the name uncultured bacterium. Its description in RNAcentral is "partial 16S ribosomal RNA". It matches the Rfam family "Bacterial small subunit ribosomal RNA", at positions 30 to 507 of the family's 1533-position model. The record is from RNAcentral.
AUUGAACGCUAGCGGUAUGCUUUACACAUGCAAGUCGAACGGCAGCGCGGACUUCGGUCUGGCGGCGAGGGGCGAACGGGUGAGUAGUGUAUCGGAACGUGCCCAGUUGCGUGGGAUAACUACGCGAAAGCGUAGCUAAUACCGCAUACGCCCUACGGGGGAAAGCAGGGGAUCGUAAGACCUUGCACUAUUGGAGCGGCCGAAAUCGGAUUGUCUAGUUGGUGAGGUAACGGCUCACCAAGCCGACGAUCCGUAGCUGGUUUGAGAGGACGACCAGCCACACUGGGACUGAGACACGGCCCAGACUCCUACGGGAGGCAGCAGUGGGGAAUUUUGGACAAUGGGGGCAAGCCUGAUCCAGCCAUCCCGCGUGUGGGAUGAAGGCCUUCGGGUUGUAAAGCACUUUUGGCAGGAAAGAAACGUCGCGGGCUAAUACCCCGUGGAACUGACGGUACCUGAAGAAUAAGCACCGGCUAACUACGUG